CAGAUUGCAGUCUGCAACUCGACUGCAUGAAGUCGGAAUCGCUAGUAAUCGCGGAUCAGCAUGCCGCGGUGAAUACGUUCCCGGGCCUUGUACACACCGCCCGUCACACCAUGAGAGUCGGGAACACCCGAAGUCCGUAGCCUAACCGCAAGGGGGGCGCGGCCGAGGUGGGUUCGAUAAUUGGGGUGAAGUCGUAACAAGGUAAC
This 206-nucleotide ribosomal RNA is filed under the name uncultured bacterium. Its description in RNAcentral is "partial 16S ribosomal RNA". It matches the Rfam family "Bacterial small subunit ribosomal RNA", at positions 1294 to 1500 of the family's 1533-position model. The record is from RNAcentral.